This 744-nucleotide ribosomal RNA is filed under the name Microbacterium testaceum. RNAcentral describes it as "bacterial SSU rRNA". It matches the Rfam family "Bacterial small subunit ribosomal RNA", at positions 747 to 1487 of the family's 1533-position model. Lineage: Bacteria; Bacillati; Actinomycetota; Actinomycetes; Micrococcales; Microbacteriaceae. The record is from RNAcentral.
UGAGGAGCGAAAGGGUGGGGAGCAAACAGGCUUAGAUACCCUGGUAGUCCACCCCGUAAACGUUGGGAACUAGUUGUGGGGACCAUUCCACGGUUUCCGUGACGCAGCUAACGCAUUAAGUUCCCCGCCUGGGGAGUACGGCCGCAAGGCUAAAACUCAAAGGAAUUGACGGGGACCCGCACAAGCGGCGGAGCAUGCGGAUUAAUUCGAUGCAACGCGAAGAACCUUACCAAGGCUUGACAUAUACGAGAACGGGCCAGAAAUGGUCAACUCUUUGGACACUCGUAAACAGGUGGUGCAUGGUUGUCGUCAGCUCGUGUCGUGAGAUGUUGGGUUAAGUCCCGCAACGAGCGCAACCCUCGUUCUAUGUUGCCAGCACGUAAUGGUGGGAACUCAUGGGAUACUGCCGGGGUCAACUCGGAGGAAGGUGGGGAUGACGUCAAAUCAUCAUGCCCCUUAUGUCUUGGGCUUCACGCAUGCUACAAUGGCCGGUACAAAGGGCUGCAAUACCGUAAGGUGGAGCGAAUCCCAAAAAGCCGGUCCCAGUUCGGAUUGAGGUCUGCAACUCGACCUCAUGAAGUCGGAGUCGCUAGUAAUCGCAGAUCAGCAACGCUGCGGUGAAUACGUUCCCGGGUCUUGUACACACCGCCCGUCAAGUCAUGAAAGUCGGUAACACCUGAAGCCGGUGGCCCAACCCUUGUGGAGGGAGCCGUCGAAGGUGGGAUCGGUAAUUAGGACUAAGUC